CCUACGGGCGGCAGCAGUGGGGAAUAUUGCACAAUGGGGGAAACCCUGAUGCAGCGACGCCGCGUGAGUGAAGAAGUAAUUCGUUAUGUAAAGCUCUAUCAGCAGGGAAGAAAAUGACGGUACCUGAGUAAGCAGCCCCGGCUAACUACGUGCCAGAAGCCGCGGUAAUACGUAGGGGGCAAGCGUUAUCCGGAUUUACUGGGUGGAAAGGGAGCGUAGACGGCAGUGAAAGUCUGGAGUGAAAGGCGGGGGCUCAACCCCCGGACUGCUCUGGAAACUGUACGGCUGGAGUGCAGGAGAGGUAAGUGGAAUUCCUAGUGUAGCGGUGAAAUGCGUAGAUAUUAGGAGGAACACCAGUGGCGAAGGCGGCUUACUGGACUGUAACUGACGUUGAGGCUCGAAAGCGUGGGGAGCAAACAGGAUUAGAUACCCUUGUAGUC
RNAcentral lists this ribosomal RNA (440 nucleotides) under uncultured bacterium. Its description in RNAcentral is "partial 16S ribosomal RNA". It matches the Rfam family "Bacterial small subunit ribosomal RNA", at positions 338 to 795 of the family's 1533-position model. The record is from RNAcentral.